Long non-coding RNA from Pan troglodytes (chimpanzee), 630 nucleotides. RefSeq lists it as uncharacterized. The record is from RefSeq and is a predicted model, not a curated record. The transcript has 4 exons. NCBI's taxonomy places the organism in Eukaryota, Metazoa, Chordata, Mammalia, Primates, Hominidae.
UAGAUCUGCAAAUACUAAAAUUGCAAGGACAAACUGUACCUUUAACUCACACUGGGCUUCUUCUAGGGUACCAGUGGACUGGAUAAUAAGUUUUCUUUUCUUUUUUUAGAAUCUAUCUUCAAGAAGCUGAGAAAGCAGAAACCUGGGAAUUAAUGGAUUCAGUAUUAUAAAUAUCAGGAAAUCCUGAGAGUUGUCAUGAAACCCUCUGCCACUUUUCCAAUAUUUUAUUAGUAGGGAAAUAGUGAAAAUGAAUGGAUCUGACAGAUACAAGCAGUUGAGAGUAUGGCCUAAAGAAAAAAAAUCCACUGAACAUCAUGCAAUUAGAAGUGCCAUUAGGCAAGGGGUCAAUGGAUUGGCUGGAGAAAGCUGGAAGCUUGAAAUGACUGUCUACAAGGUGAUCAAGAACACAGCACCUGGAUGAAGGGAGGAGCAGGAGAAAAGGUGGUGACAGUAAGCAAGGAGAGCAAACCUUCAGAGGGCUAAGGGGAAGCCCUUCACCCCUACAGUUUUGGCACUGUGAACAGGAUCUCAUCAAAGCGUCUCUGCUUUUCAGGGAGCCGCAGUGAAAGAAACCCAGGACCUGACAAGCCAACAGAAAGGUAAGAAGUUUUACCAGCCAGGUUCCUGGUC